Eurytemora carolleeae is the source of this 895-nucleotide long non-coding RNA. RefSeq lists it as uncharacterized. The transcript has 2 exons. The record is from RefSeq and is a predicted model, not a curated record. Lineage: Eukaryota; Metazoa; Arthropoda; Copepoda; Calanoida; Temoridae.
UGUAGAACGAGUUUACUGUCAGGAGCAAUAACAGUUUUUUGUCGGGAAGAUGAAGCUGUGACACCAGCCCGAGAUACUGUUCAGGAACCUUUACGAUGGUCCAAUAUUGGGGUCUCCAGUCUAAUAGCCAACUCUAGACAGCGAUUGUAAACCUAAAUAACCUGUUAUGGCCAAUUUUAAACAGAGAUUGUAAAUGUGCCAUUCUCAAGAUUUAUGGCCAAUUCUUGACAGAUAAUCGAAAGAAAUCAUUCUCAGUUAUUUGGCCCGGUUUAAAACACAGAUUGUACACCCAAGUAUUCUCCUUUUUUUUACGGUCAAGUUCCAACAGUCAAUGUUUAUGGUCAGUUAUGCCAAAGAUUGUAAACAAGUCAGUCUCGGGUUUUCUGGCCGGUUUUACACGAGAGAUUGUAACCUACCAGUCUCCUGUUUUAUGCCCAACUAAAGACAGAGAUUGCAGUCUACCAGUCUCCAAUUUUAUGGCCAAAAUUUUUUAAUGUCAGUUGAGACUAUAAUUUAUGGCUUUUUAUAAACAGAGAUUUUCAACAAGCUAUAAUGGCCAGUUGUAGACACUGAUGGAAAACCUACCAUUUUUAUGGCCAGCUCUAGAAAGAGAUUUAUACCAGUUGUUAGCAGAGAUUGUACUAUACCUCGAAAACUACAAAUGUUGUAGAUUUUUAAAACAUGAAGAAGUAAAGCGAAAAAUUACAAUAAUAAUCUUUUUGGACGUCAAGUUUGCCAGGUCGUAAAUUGUAGAGUGAUACAUUUGAGUAAUACUUUAUUAUUUUAUUUUUUCAUUAUUUGCUUUACAAUUCAAAUGAGAUAUUCAUGCUUAUGAAAAAACCAAUUCUGAUUAUAUUUACAAUAUGUUAAAAUUUCAUUAAUGUUUUGUUACAGA